This 253-nucleotide ribosomal RNA is filed under the name uncultured bacterium. Its description in RNAcentral is "partial 16S ribosomal RNA". It matches the Rfam family "Bacterial small subunit ribosomal RNA", at positions 524 to 776 of the family's 1533-position model. The record is from RNAcentral.
UACGAAGGGGGCUAGCGUUGCUCGGAAUCACUGGGCGUAAAGCGCACGUAGGCGGAUCUUUAAGUCAGGGGUGAAAUCCUGGAGCUCAACUCCAGAACUGCCUUUGAUACUGGGAAGCUUGAGUCCGGGAGAGGUGAGUGGAACUCCGAGUGUAGAGGUGAAAUUCGUAGAUAUUCGGAAGAACACCAGUGGCGAAGGCGGCUCACUGGCCCGGUACUGACGCUGAGGUGCGAAAGCGUGGGGAGCAAACAGG